RNAcentral lists this ribosomal RNA (2736 nucleotides) under human gut metagenome. RNAcentral's name for it is "bacterial LSU rRNA". It matches the Rfam family "Bacterial large subunit ribosomal RNA". The record is from RNAcentral.
UUAAGUGAAUAAGGGCGCACGGUGGAUGCCUUGGCACUAGGAGCCGAUGAAGGACGGGACUAACACCGAUAUGCUUUGGGGAGCUGUAAGUAAGCUAUGAUCCAGAGAUUUCCGAAUGGGGGAACCCAAUAUCUUUUAUAGGAUAUUACUUUUCAGUGAAUACAUAGCUGAUUAGAGGUAGACGCAGAGAACUGAAACAUCUUAGUACCUGCAGGAAGAGAAAGAAAAUUCGAUUCCCUGAGUAGCGGCGAGCGAAACGGGAAGAGCCCAAACCAACAAGCUUGCUUGUUGGGGUUGUAGGACUCCAAUAUGGUAGUCUGUUAGUAUAGUUGAAGGAUUUGGAAAAUUCCGCUAAAGAGGGUGAAAGCCCCGUAGACGAAAUGCUGACAACACCUAGGAGGAUCCUGAGUACGGCGGAACACGAGAAAUUCCGUCGGAAUCCGCGGGGACCAUCCCGCAAGGCUAAAUACUCCCUAGUGACCGAUAGUGAACCAGUACCGUGAGGGAAAGGUGAAAAGCACCCCGGAAGGGGAGUGAAAUAGAUCCUGAAACCGUGUGCCUACAACAAGUCAAAGCUCGUUAAUGAGUGAUGGCGUGCCUUUUGUAGAAUGAACCGGCGAGUUACGAUUGCAUGCGAGGUUAAGUCGAAGAGACGGAGCCGCAGCGAAAGCGAGUCUGAAUAGGGCGAAUGAGUAUGUAGUCGUAGACCCGAAACCAUGUGAUCUACCCAUGUCCAGGUUGAAGGUGCGGUAAAACGCACUGGAGGACCGAACCCACGUACGUUGAAAAGUGCGGGGAUGAGGUGUGGGUAGCGGAGAAAUUCCAAACGAACUUGGAGAUAGCUGGUUCUCUCCGAAAUAGCUUUAGGGCUAGCCUCGGAAUUGAGAAUGAUGGAGGUAGAGCACUGUUUGGACUAGGGGCCCAUCUCGGGUUACCGAAUUCAGAUAAACUCCGAAUGCCAUUCAUUUAUAUCCGGGAGUCAGACUGCGAGUGAUAAGAUCCGUAGUCGAAAGGGAAACAGCCCAGACCACCAGCUAAGGUCCCAAAAUAUAUGUUAAGUGGAAAAGGAUGUGGGGUUGCACAGACAACUAGGAUGUUGGCUUAGAAGCAGCCACCAUUUAAAGAGUGCGUAAUAGCUCACUAGUCGAGUGACCCUGCGCCGAAAAUGUACCGGGGCUAAACAUAUUACCGAAGCUGUGGACUACACCAUUAGGUGUAGUGGUAGGAGAGCGUUCUAAGGGCGUUGAAGGUCGAUCGUGAGGACGGCUGGAGCGCUUAGAAGUGAGAAUGCCGGUAUGAGUAGCGAAAGACAGGUGAGAAUCCUGUCCACCGUAUGACUAAGGUUUCCUGGGGAAGGCUCGUCCGCCCAGGGUUAGUCGGGACCUAAGCCGAGGCCGAUAGGCGUAGGCGAUGGACAACAGGUUGAUAUUCCUGUACCAGUUGUUUUUGUUUGAGCAAUGGAGGGACGCAGUAGGCUAAGGAAUGCAUGCGAUUGGAAGUGCAUGUCCAAGCAAUGAGUCUUGAGUAGAGUUAAAUGCUUUACUCUUUAAGGACAAGUUGUGACGGGGAGCGAAAUAAUAGUAGCGAAGUUCCUGAUGUCACACUGCCAAGAAAAGCUUCUAGUGAGAAAACAACUGCCCGUACCGUAAACCGACACAGGUAGUCGAGGAGAGUAUCCUAAGGUGAGCGAGCGAACUCUCGUUAAGGAACUCGGCAAAAUGACCCCGUAACUUCGGGAGAAGGGGUGCUGACGACCGUCAGCCGCAGUGAAUAGGCCCAAGCGACUGUUUAUCAAAAACACAGGUCUCUGCAAAAUCGUAAGAUGAAGUAUAGGGGCUGACGCCUGCCCGGUGCUGGAAGGUUAAGAGGAUGGGUUAGCUUCGGCGAAGCUCAGAAUUGAAGCCCCAGUAAACGGCGGCCGUAACUAUAACGGUCCUAAGGUAGCGAAAUUCCUUGUCGGGAGCCGAUGAGACCGGAACGCUAGUUUCGGAGGAGGCGCUGGUGGGAUACUACCCUUGUGUUAUGAACCCUCUAACCCGCACCACUAAUCGUGGUGGGAGACAGUGUCAGAUGGGCAGUUUGACUGGGGCGGUCGCCUCCUAAAAGGUAACGGAGGCGCCCAAAGGUUCCCUCAGAAUGGUUGGAAAUCAUUCGAAGAGUGUAAAGGCAGAAGGGAGCUUGACUGCGAGACCUACAAGUCGAGCAGGGACGAAAGUCGGGCUUAGUGAUCCGGUGGUUCCGCAUGGAAGGGCCAUCGCUCAACGGAUAAAAGCUACCCUGGGGAUAACAGGCUUAUCUCCCCCAAGAGUCCACAUCGACGGGGAGGUUUGGCACCUCGAUGUCGGCUCGUCGCAUCCUGGGGCUGUAGUCGGUCCCAAGGGUUGGGCUGUUCGCCCAUUAAAGCGGCACGCGAGCUGGGUUUAGAACGUCGUGAGACAGUUCGGUCCCUAUCCGUCGCGGGCGUUGGAAAUUUGAGAGGAGCUGUCCUUAGUACGAGAGGACCGGGAUGGACUUACCGCUGGUGUACCAGUUGUUCUGCCAAGGGCAUUGCUGGGUAGCUAUGUAGGGAAGGGAUAAACGCUGAAAGCAUCUAAGUGUGAAGCCCACCUCAAGAUGAGAUUUCCCAUUUCUUUAAGAAAGUAAGACCCCUGAGAGAUGAUCAGGUAGAUAGGUUGGAAGUGGAAGGCUAGUGAUAGUUGGAGCGGACCAAUACUAAUCGGUCGAGGACUUAACCAA